RNAcentral lists this ribosomal RNA (763 nucleotides) under uncultured bacterium. RNAcentral describes it as "bacterial SSU rRNA". It matches the Rfam family "Bacterial small subunit ribosomal RNA", at positions 8 to 796 of the family's 1533-position model. The record is from RNAcentral.
AGAGUUUGAUCAUGGCUCAGGACGAACGCUGGCGGCGUGCCUAACACAUGCAAGUCGAGCGAGAGACUUCGGUCUCUAGCGGCGGACGGGUGAGUAACACGUGGGUAACCUGCCUCAAAGAGGGGAAUAGCCUCCCGAAAGGGAGAUUAAUACCGCAUAACAUGUUUUAAUCGCAUGAUUAGAACAUCAAAGGAGCAAUCCGCUUUGAGAUGGACCCGCGGCGCAUUAGCUAGUUGGUGAGGUAACGGCUCACCAAGGCGACGAUGCGUAGCCGACCUGAGAGGGUGAUCGGCCACAUUGGAACUGAGACACGGUCCAGACUCCUACGGGAGGCAGCAGUGGGGAAUAUUGCGCAAUGGGGGAAACCCUGACGCAGCAACGCCGCGUGAAUGAUGAAGGCCUUAGGGUUGUAAAGUUCUGUCUUCUGGGACGAUAAUGACGGUACCAGAGGAGGAAGCCACGGCUAACUACGUGCCAGCAGCCGCGGUAAUACGUAGGUGGCAAGCGUUGUCCGGAUUUACUGGGCGUAAAGGAUGCGUAGGCGGACAUUUAAGUCAGAUGUGAAAUACCCGGGCUCAACUUGGGUGCUGCAUUUGAAACUGGGUGUCUAGAGUGCAGGAGAGGAAAGCGGAAUUCCUAGUGUAGCGGUGAAAUGCGUAGAGAUUAGGAAGAACACCAGUGGCGAAGGCGGCUUUCUGGACUGUAACUGACGCUGAGGCAUGAAAGCGUGGGGAGCAAACAGGAUUAGAUACCCUAGUAGUCC